RNAcentral lists this small RNA (29 nucleotides) under Bombyx mori (domestic silkworm). RNAcentral describes it as "ovarian small RNA-23950". Lineage: Eukaryota; Metazoa; Arthropoda; Insecta; Lepidoptera; Bombycidae. The record is from RNAcentral.
UAUGCUUGAACAAAUCUUGUGAGAUCGUC